This 903-nucleotide ribosomal RNA is filed under the name Staphylococcus pseudintermedius. RNAcentral's name for it is "partial 23S ribosomal RNA". It matches the Rfam family "Bacterial large subunit ribosomal RNA", at positions 1239 to 2140 of the family's 2925-position model. The record is from RNAcentral. Lineage: Bacteria; Bacillati; Bacillota; Bacilli; Caryophanales; Staphylococcaceae.
UUCUAAGGGCGUUGAAGCAUGAUCGCAAGGACAUGUGGAGCGCUUAGAAGUGAGAAUGCCGGUGUGAGUAGCGAAAGACGGGUGAGAAUCCCGUCCACCGAUUGACUAAGGUUUCCAGAGGAAGGCUCGUCCGCUCUGGGUUAGUCGGGUCCUAAGCUGAGGCCGACAGGCGUAGGCGAUGGAUAACAGGUUGAUAUUCCUGUACCACCAUUAUUCGUUUUAAGCGAUGGGGGGACGCAGUAGGAUAGGCGAAGCGUGCUGUUGGAGUGCACGUCCAAGCAGUGAGAUUGAGUGUUAGGCAAAUCCGGCACUCUUAAGAUUGAGCUGUGAUGGGGAGAGGAACUUGUUCCUCGAGUCGUUGAUUUCACACUGCCGAGAAAAGCCUCUAGCUAGAAUAACGGUGCCCGUACCGCAAACCGACACAGGUAGUCAAGAUGAGAAUUCUAAGGUGAGCGAGCGAACUCUCGUUAAGGAACUCGGCAAAAUGACCCCGUAACUUCGGGAGAAGGGGUGCUCUUUGAGGUUCACGCUUCGAAGAGCCGCAGUGAAUAGGCCCAAGCGACUGUUUAUCAAAAACACAGGUCUCUGCUAAACCGUAAGGUGACGUAUAGGGGCUGACGCCUGCCCGGUGCUGGAAGGUUAAGAGGAGUGGUUAGCGCAAGCGAAGCUACGAAUCGAAGCCCCAGUAAACGGCGGCCGUAACUAUAACGGUCCUAAGGUAGCGAAAUUCCUUGUCGGGUAAGUUCCGACCCGCACGAAAGGCGUAACGAUUUGGGCACUGUCUCAACGAGAGACUCGGUGAAAUCAUAGUACCGGUGAAGAUGCCGGUUACCCGCGACAGGACGGAAAGACCCCGUGGAGCUUUACUGUAGCCUGAUAUUGAAAUUCGGUACAGUUUGUACA